AUUAUUUCCAGGUGUGUCUGUGAAGGUGCUUCUGGUUGACAUUGACAUUUCGAUCAGUGGACUGAGUAAAGCAGAUUACCCUCCCCUGAUGAAGGUGGGCCUCAUCCAAGUUGUUGAAGGCCUGAAUAGAAUAAAAGACUGAGUAAGAAGGAAUUUUCUCUCCCUGCUUGACUAUCUUUGAGCUGGGACAUCAAUCUUCUCCUGCCUUCAGACUCAGACUCAGACUAGAACUUACACCAAUGGCUCCCUGGUUCUUAGGCUUUCCGACUUGUACUGGAACUAUACCAUCAGCUCUCUUGGGUCUGGCUUUCUCAGCUCCAUAAUUGUGUGAGCUAAUUCCUUAUAAUCUCUCUCUCUGUCUCUCUCUCUCUCUCUCUUUAUUCUCCCCUCCCCCAGAGAACCCUAACUAAUACAGCCCCUCCUUCACGCCAAGAAAGAAAAAAAGAGGAAAAGGAUGGUAACCUUGGUAAAGCCAAGAGAGUCAAUGACCAUCAAAACAUCAAGAUUAAUCUUGGGUCCAGACAAGAAAGGCAGUAUCUUAUUACUCUGCUCUGAUCUGAUAAUACCUAGAGCGUCAUGCCCAGUUCUGGUAACCCUAGUAUAGAAGGAAAAGGUCAAACAAAGGAAGUCCAGAAGGAAAUGACCAAAGCAGACGAUGCAUCUAAAGUCACACCAGUGAAAAACAGUCCGGAGAACUGGAGAAGUUCUUUCAGGGAGAAGAUUUCGGGGAAAGAUAUAAUAGCUGUCCUCAAACUCUCAAACUGCCAACAGCAAGAAGAGGAAUGACACUCGUUCAGUCUGCCUCCAAGGUGCAGUGACAUGGAGUGAAUGUUUUAAGGAGAAAGAGUUCAGCCCAAUGUAAGGAAGCUCUUUUAUGGAUGGACUGGACUGAAAUGAGAGUCUAAGUUUUCUUCAUGGAACCCAUGUGACACCAGGCUCCAAAUGCCACUCCCAGAGAACCAUGAUGGAUGGUGGUUUUCAUGGACGCUUCCAGGAAUGGCUGUAUGAUUUUCCAUCACAUAGGAGGACCACGAUUUGACAAAAAUGAUGUUUAAGGUUCUUCUCAACUUAUUACUCUGGGAGUUUCCACUGACUUUCCUACAUCCUAAGUCAAGAUGAUAGUAGGAUAAUGGCAUAUCAUCACUCUCGUUGCCAGGAUUGCUGGAGAACGUUGAUUCGCCGCUGCUUCCAAAACCAGAUCAAGACACUGUUUGACUUUCAGAUGUUUUGACCCUAAUCAGAAGAUAGUCCAAGAUUUAUUACAUAAGAACUAUCUAAAAUGGAUAUGAUGUUGUCAUGAACUCUGGUCCAUUGUAAAACCAUG
Molecule: long non-coding RNA, 1324 nt
Filed under: Equus caballus (horse)
Lineage: Eukaryota; Metazoa; Chordata; Mammalia; Perissodactyla; Equidae
Description: lncRNA (ENSECAG00000049371.1)
Source: RNAcentral